UUUUAAAAUGAUGCCAAAAUAUCCGCCCCAGUCUGAUUUCUGUGACUGUUUGGAAGUAUUCUGAUUAAAU
Molecule: small nucleolar RNA, 70 nt
Organism: Leptopilina heterotoma
Lineage: Eukaryota; Metazoa; Arthropoda; Insecta; Hymenoptera; Figitidae
Source: RefSeq, a predicted model, not a curated record